This 164-nucleotide ribosomal RNA is filed under the name uncultured bacterium. Its description in RNAcentral is "partial 16S rRNA". It matches the Rfam family "Bacterial small subunit ribosomal RNA", at positions 355 to 511 of the family's 1533-position model. The record is from RNAcentral.
UAGGGAAUCUUCCACAAUGGACGAAAGUCUGAUGGAGCAACGCCGCGUGAGUGAAGAAGGGUUUCGGCUCGUAAAACUCUGUUGUUAAAGAGGAAUGACAUUGAGAGUAACUGUUCAAUGUGUGACGGUAUCUUACCAGAAAGGAACGGCUAAAUACGUGCCAG